This 318-nucleotide ribosomal RNA is filed under the name uncultured bacterium. RNAcentral's name for it is "bacterial SSU rRNA". It matches the Rfam family "Bacterial small subunit ribosomal RNA", at positions 28 to 334 of the family's 1533-position model. The record is from RNAcentral.
GACGAACGCUGGCGGCAUGCCUAAUACAUGCAAGUCGAACGCCGAAGCACUCUGCUUGCAGAGUGCGGAUGAGUGGCGAACGGGUGAGUAACACGUGGGAAAUCUACCUAAAAGUGGGGGAUAACAUUCGGAAACGGAUGCUAAUACCGCAUAUCUUCAAGAACCGCAUGGUUCCUGAACGAAAGAUGGCUUCGGCUAUCGCUCUUAGAUGAUCCCGCGGCGUAUUAGUUAGUUGGUGAGGUAAUGGCUCACCAAGACAGUGAUACGUAGCCGGCCUGAAAGGGUGAACGGCCACACUGGGACUGAGACACGGCCCAG